ACUUUUUAGUUUUUUCAGUUCAGUUCAGUUAUUAUUCGACUACUAACCUGUUUUCGUGUGUAUUAAGUACAGAGUCGUAAUAAAUGAGAAAAAGCGAAUACUGAUGUAUAAUAAUCCCUGCCUCUGAAAGCGACAUAAAAGGAACGCGCAAGCAACACAUUCUUUGGCCGCACUCAACGCCACACGAGAGAGUGUCGUGGCGCCGUCCGUCGUGGGAUGAGAAUACACGUGCAAAGUAGUGAGACUUUUACGGAGCAAUGAAGACACGUCGCAGCGGGCGGGCAAGGAGAGAAAGACUCAAAUCAAAAUCGAAAUCAAAACCAAAGGAGAUUAAAACUUCCAAAAAACAGACGACGAAGAUUCUCA
This is a long non-coding RNA of Wasmannia auropunctata (little fire ant), 366 nucleotides long. RefSeq lists it as uncharacterized. Lineage: Eukaryota; Metazoa; Arthropoda; Insecta; Hymenoptera; Formicidae. The transcript has 3 exons. The record is from RefSeq and is a predicted model, not a curated record.